UUAGGUUAAGUUAAUAAGGGCGCACGGUGGAUGCCUUGGCACUAAGAGCCGAUGAAGGACGGGACUAACUCCGAUAUGCUUUGGGGAGCUGUAAGUAAGCUUUGAUCCAAAGAUUUCCGAAUGGGGGAACCCAGCAUUUUUUAUAGAAUGUUACUGCUAGCUGAAUACAUAGGCUAGUAGAGGUAGACGCAGAGAACUGAAACAUCUAAGUAACUGCAGGAAGAGAAAGAAAAUUCGAUUCCCUGAGUAGCGGCGAGCGAAACGGGAAGAGCCCAAACCAAAGAGCUUGCUCUUUGGGGUUGUAGGACACGACAUUAAGAGUCAUAAAUGAGUUUUGUAGAAGAAGCGAUCUGGAAAGGUCCGCCGAAGAGGGUAAAAGCCCCGUAAUCGAAACAAAGUUCACUCUGUUGUGUAUCCUGAGUACGGCGGAACACGAGAAAUUCCGUCGGAAUCCGCGGGGACCAUCCCGCAAGGCUAAAUACUCCUUAGUGACCGAUAGUGAACCAGUACCGUGAGGGAAAGGUGAAAAGAACCCCGGAAGGGGAGUGAAAGAGCUCCUGAAACCGUGUGCUUACAAAUAGUUAGAGCCCGUUAAUGGGUGAUAGCGUGCCUUUUGUAGAAUGAACCGGCGAGUUACGAUUACAUGCGAGGUUAAGUUGAUAAGACGGAGCCGUAGCGAAAGCGAGUCUUAAUAGGGCGAAUGAGUAUGUGGUCGUAGACCCGAAACCAAGUGACCUACCCAUGUCCAGGUUGAAGGUGCGGUAAUACGCACUGGAGGACCGAACCCACGUAUGUUGAAAAAUGCGGGGAUGAGGUGUGGGUAGCGGAGAAAUUCCAAUCGAACUUGGAGAUAGCUGGUUCUCUCCGAAAUAGCUUUAGGGCUAGCCUCGGAAUUAAGAAUCAUGGAGGUAGAGCCACUGUUUGGACUAGGGGCCCUUCUAGGGUUACCGAAUUCAGAUAAACUCCGAAUGCCAUUGAUUUAUAUCCGGGAGUCAGACUGCGAGUGAUAAGAUCCGUAGUCGAAAGGGAAACAGCCCAGACCACCAGCUAAGGUCCCAAAGUUACUAUUAAGUGGAAAAGGAUGUGGGGUUGCUUAGACAACUAGGAUGUUGGCUCAGAAGCAGCCAUCAUUUAAAGAGUGCGUAAUAGCUCACUAGUCGAGUGACCCUGCGCCGAAAAUUUACCGGGGCUAAAUAGUACACCGAAGCUGUGGAUAGAACCUUAGGGUUCUAUGGUAGGAGAGCGUUCUAAGGGCGUCGAAGCUAGACCGUGAGGACUAGUGGAGCGCUUAGAAGUGAGAAUGCCGGUAUGAGUAGCGAAAGACGGGUGAGAAUCCCGUCCACCGUAUGACUAAGGUUUCCUGGGGAAGGCUCGUCCUCCCAGGGUUAGUCGGGACCUAAGCCGAGGCCGAUAGGCGUAGGCGAUGGACAACAGGUUGAUAUUCCUGUACCAGUUUCUUUUGUUUGAACAAUGGAGGGACGCAGGAGGCUAAGAAAUGCGCACUGUUGGAUAUGUGCGUCUAAGCAAUGAGUCUUGAGGUGAGUUAAAUGCUUGCUUCUAUACGGACAAGUUGUGAUGGGGAGGGAAAUUACAGUACCGAAGUUUCUGAUGUCACACUGCCAAGAAAAGCUUCUAGUUAGAAAGAAAUUGCCCGUACCGCAAACCGACACAGGUAGUCGAGGAGAGUAUCCUAAGGUGUGCGAGAGAACUCUCGUUAAGGAACUCGGCAAAAUGACCCCGUAACUUCGGGAGAAGGGGUGCUGAUCGAAAGAUCAGCCGCAGUGAAUAGGCCCAAGCGACUGUUUAUCAAAAACACAGGUCUCUGCAAAAUCGAAAGAUGACGUAUAGGGGCUGACGCCUGCCCGGUGCUGGAAGGUUAAGAGGAUUGGUUAGCUUCGGCGAAGCUAAGAAUUGAAGCCCCAGUAAACGGCGGCCGUAACUAUAACGGUCCUAAGGUAGCGAAAUUCCUUGUCGGGUAAGUUCCGACCCGCACGAAAGGCGUAACGAUUUGGGCACUGUCUCAACGAGAGACUCGGUGAAAUUAUAGUACCUGUGAAGAUGCAGGUUACCCGCGACAGGACGGAAAGACCCCAUGGAGCUUUACUGCAGUUUGAUAUUGAGUGUUUGUACAGCUUGUACAGGAUAGGUAGGAGCCAUAGAAGUCAGGACGCCAGUCUUGAUGGAGGCAUUGGUGGGAUACUACCCUUGCUGUAUGACCACUCUAACCCUAGCCACUAAUCGUGGCUGGAGACAGUGUCAGACGGGCAGUUUGACUGGGGCGGUCGCCUCCUAAAGAGUAACGGAGGCGCCCAAAGGUUCCCUCAGAAUGGUUGGAAAUCAUUCGUAGAGUGUAAAGGCAGAAGGGAGCUUGACUGCGAGACCUACAAGUCGAGCAGGGACGAAAGUCGGGCUUAGUGAUCCGGUGGUUCCGCAUGGAAGGGCCAUCGCUCAACGGAUAAAAGCUACCCUGGGGAUAACAGGCUUAUCUCCCCAAGAGUCCACAUCGACGGGGAGGUUUGGCACCUCGAUGUCGGCUCAUCGCAUCCUGGGGCUGUAGUCGGUCCCAAGGGUUGGGCUGUUCGCCCAUUAAAGCGGUACGCGAGCUGGGUUCAGAACGUCGUGAGACAGUUCGGUCCCUAUCCGUCGCGGGCGCAGGAAAUUUGAGAGGAGCUGUCCUUAGUACGAGAGGACCGGGAUGGACACACCGCUGGUGUACCAGUUGUUCUGCCAAGAGCAUCGCUGGGUAGCUAUGUGUGGAAGGGAUAAACGCUGAAAGCAUCUAAGCGUGAAGCCCCCUCGAGAUGAGAUUUCCCAUCACGUAAGUGAGUAAGACCCCUGAGAGAUGAUCAGGUAGAUAGGUUGGAAGUGGAAGUACAGCGAUGUAUGGAGCGGACCAAUACUAAUCGGUCGAGGACUUAACCAAG
Molecule: ribosomal RNA, 2924 nt
Filed under: Carnobacterium maltaromaticum
Lineage: Bacteria; Bacillati; Bacillota; Bacilli; Lactobacillales; Carnobacteriaceae
Description: bacterial LSU rRNA
Rfam family: Bacterial large subunit ribosomal RNA
Source: RNAcentral